This 1814-nucleotide long non-coding RNA is filed under the name Eptatretus burgeri (inshore hagfish). RNAcentral describes it as "lncRNA (ENSEBUG00000017441.1)". Lineage: Eukaryota; Metazoa; Chordata; Myxini; Myxiniformes; Myxinidae. The record is from RNAcentral.
UGUCUUGGAGCAUUGCAAGUAUUUUUGGUGUUUCUUGGAGUAUUGCAAGUAGCUGUGGACUGGCCUUGCUGUUUGUGUUACCAAGCUGGCGAGGUGACAAGUGGCAGAGCCAGGUUCAACAGAAGGCGCAACAUGCCCGCCACUUGGCUGCUCUUCUGUGCCAGGAGCUGGCAGACGGUGAAGGCACCAUAUGUCCUCACAAGGAAGACACCGGCGAGGUUGAGGAGGAACCCAUGCUCGUGGACGAUUGGGACGAACUAUGGUGCGAAUCCUUACUCAUACCGACAGCAUCUUUGGACGCAGCACACACCAUGGUCAGGCUCGGUUUGUGCACUCACUGCCACAGGCGGAGAAACAGGACAGAACGCAUGGGAAGGACAAGCCAAUCUGUGAGGAUCUCGCUUACAGACAGGAUGACUUACGCCAUUGCUACCAACAAAGAACUGAAGAAAAGUGCACCUGAACCCCCAGCUCUACCACCGAGUCAUCCUGAACCUAAGAGCGAGGGUCUUGCUUGGCUUGGUAGGGCAACAGCAACUCCAGCAUGCAAGGAUCUGACAUGGGUGACAGGGGCACCUGCCAAGCCUGUGGUCAGCCAGCCAAGCCGCUCUUCGACAAAGGAUCCUCUGCUUCAUGUACCCAAGGAUGUGACUAGUCACGUGUACAGGAUAUGCACACCGUGCCCUGUGCAGAUCACCACACUCUGACGAAAGUCUGGAUCCACGGAAACACGCGUCUUUCAUCCACCAUCUGCUCCAGGGUGACCAAGCACGUAACGGAUAUAAUGACCUGCCGAGCGUCGGUCAGCUUUCCGCUUCACCCACGUGGAUUUGAUCUGAAAAUGACUUCCUGAUCGAUUUUACUUAUUUAUUUCUUUUUUGUACUGGGAUUCUUACUUUUCCAGUUCAGCCAAGCGGUGCGUUUCACCACCGUCGUGAUCACUGCCAAUAUAUGAAUAAAUUGGCAUUUCCCUUCUGAUCUAGCCGAAUGGAUUCACAUGUUUUCAUAGAUCACUCUUUUAUCCUUGUAAAUAAUUGAUGAAACACUUUCUGGGGCAGGAUAUAACAACAUUAAAUAUUGAUAAGAUGUGGUGAAAUUUCCAUGUCUCUAUUUUGAGAGGGGCUCAUGGAAGUUAAGAAAUUACAUUAAUUUGAUCAUAUCCCACUACAGGCUUACUAUUUAACUGGUCAACUUAAGAAGGGAAUCCGAGACCAAAGAAGGUGAUAAUGGCACAGGUCCAUGACUUCUUGUGGUCGAAACGGUUACCAUUUUCUACAAUGGCUAACCUGAAACCCUCUGUCUUUGACAGAACAUUUCACAAGAUAUGGCAAUGGAAUGAUGGGGUUUCCAGAAAUUAUUAUUGCCAAAUGUAUUUGUAUUUUCUCAUGAGGCCAUCAAAAAUGGGUCUCGCUGAUUAUGUAUCACUCGGGCUAUGAGGAUACGUUUAGAUAUGGACGCUCGCUUGUUAGCUAUUUAGCCUGGCUUCAAACGUCGAUCAAGCUAUAAGCUGUCACCCUGGUGUCUUGCAUUGAUAUGUGUGCUACGUCCAUCGGACAUUGAGCCAGACGACCUGAUUCCCAUCACUGGUUGAUGGUGGGAUGUUAAAGAUCCCUGUUAUCACCAGCACCGUGAAUAAAUUACAAAUUCCUCCCCAAAUCGUCUGCUGUCUAACGUCAGGCUUGGCUAGCUGGUUCAUUAAAAAAAAUUGUGGAAAAAAUCAUUUCCAGACAAACUCCACGGGAAUGUGGGAUUACUCGGGGCCGUUCAAGAAGUAGGAGAGUCGUGUAGCACGGCUUAAAAAAAAAAUGUUCCAC